AUGGCCGUGCCUUGCACACGCAGACCUGGGGGCUCUCCAGGCCCACGCUGUCACCCCCGGCCGUGGCUGCGCGCUCGGCCCGGCCGCAGGAGGCGGCGGGAGCUCCGCGCUGCCGCCGCCCCCGGCCCGGCCGCGCUUCCGCCCGCGUCAGCUGACUGUGCCCGGCAGCGGCCCGGCCCGGCCCGCGGAACCUCGGCGCGCCCAGCCCGCACCAUGGCGGGGGUCGUGGUGAGCGGAGCACAGGUGUCCUACAUUAGUCAGGACUGUGAAGAAAUUCCAGAAUUCCUGGGAAGAAAAUAUGGACAUAUGGCAAAAAGGCUAGAUCUUAGCUUCAACUUGUUAAGAAAAGUCCAAGAAAACUGCUGGCACUGACAGAAGAUGAAAAUAUGAUUUAUACUGAUACCAUGUAUAAUCCAAGCAAAUCUGUUUUGUGAAAGAUUCUUUUUAUGGUGUUGAAAUAAAGUAUCAGUGAAUUGUUCUUGAAGGAAUAUUGGUUCAGACUUUUCUUGCCUCUAUCGCCACUGCCCCACCCCUGCUUUUCCUCUUCUGCUUUGUCUUUGGGGAUCUUAAUAUUGAUGCUAGCUACAAAUGGUUGUUAAACAAAUUUUCUUCAGUCCUUAAGCGUAGCUGCUUUAUGUGGGUUGAUGUAAUGCAAGAAUAAUCUCUGCUCUGAGGCUAGGGGCCAUACCCAGCUAUAGCAGUGUUGAUACUGAUUUUCUUGCUCCCGCAUUUCAUUGCAAAUUCUGUUUAACGGUAGUCAAUUUUCUUUGCUGACAAACUGUAGCAGCAGCAUCUACUGAGUUGGGUUAGGUCUACUUAAAAGUUGGGUUGUUUUCAAACAGUAUUGUAUUUGUGGAUAUCUGACUUAGUUAAACUGAACUUUGACUAUAAAACACUGUGGAUACGACCAGUCAGUAUUUGUUGAGAUGAUGUUAUCUGCAGCAGCAGAGAAGAAAGCAGAUGAAUAAAAUACAGACAAUAGCCCAACAUUAAAUUGGUUAUAAAGAAACAUAACUGGAUAAAUUAGGUAGAUUACACUAGUUUUACAGAUAAUUCUAGGCAGUAAGGCUGAAAAGGAGGUGAGGGUGGGGUUAGUUAUGUGAGUGGCUGGAAAGAUGUGAUGACUUAGUGUAAAAGUCUUGGACUGUCACUUCAGCAAAAUUCUCCGUCCAAAAUCCAUAAUCUUGGCUGAGACACAGGGGGAGCUGGGACACUGAGCAUCUGUUGGGUGCUGGGGAAAUGAUUCCA
RNAcentral lists this long non-coding RNA (1248 nucleotides) under Catharus ustulatus (Swainson's thrush). RNAcentral's name for it is "lncRNA (ENSCUSG00005000715.1)". Lineage: Eukaryota; Metazoa; Chordata; Aves; Passeriformes; Turdidae. The record is from RNAcentral.